GUGAAUCAUCGAAUCUUUGAACGCAAAUUGCACUCUCUUCGGAUAGUAUGCCUGUUUGAGUUUCAGUAUUAUUAAAAAUCUGUAUGUUGCGUCUUUUUUUCGCUCCGUAGGUUUUGUCAUCUUAAUAUCCUUUAGGGUUUAAGAGGCUUAAAAUUGACUUUUGUUGCGCAUUUUAUUUUUACAUAAAUUCUUUUUUUUAUUCGUCUGUCUUAAUGAUCUAAAUCCUAUUAGUUUCGACCAUAUCUUGUUGUU
Molecule: unclassified non-coding RNA, 252 nt
Filed under: Glomeraceae sp.
Lineage: Eukaryota; Fungi; Glomeromycota; Glomeromycetes; Glomerales; Glomeraceae
Description: partial contains 5.8S ribosomal RNA and internal transcribed spacer 2
Rfam family: 5.8S ribosomal RNA (bases 1-65)
Source: RNAcentral